Molecule: transfer RNA, 72 nt
Filed under: Hordeum vulgare
Lineage: Eukaryota; Viridiplantae; Streptophyta; Magnoliopsida; Poales; Poaceae
Description: tRNA-OTHER
Source: RNAcentral
CGUGUCGUAGCGCAGUGGUAGCUGGAUGUAAUUGUACCCGAGAGGUCGUGGGAUCGAAUCCCCUCGGCACAC